RNAcentral lists this ribosomal RNA (301 nucleotides) under uncultured bacterium. Its description in RNAcentral is "partial 16S ribosomal RNA". It matches the Rfam family "Bacterial small subunit ribosomal RNA", at positions 509 to 807 of the family's 1533-position model. The record is from RNAcentral.
CAGUAGCCGCGGUAAUACGUAGGUGGCAAGCGUUGUCCGGAAUUAUUGGGCGUAAAGGGCUCGCAGGCGGUUUCUUAAGUCUGAUGUGAAAGCCCCCGGCUCAACCGGGGAGGGUCAUUGGAAACUGGGAAACUUGAGUGCAGAAGAGGAGAGUGGAAUUCCACGUGUAGCGGUGAAAUGCGUAGAGAUGUGGAGGAACACCAGUGGCGAAGGCGACUCUCUGGUCUGUAACUGACGCUGAGACGCGAAAGCCAGGGGAGCGAACGGGAUUAGAUACCCCGGUAGUCCCUGUCUCUUAUAC